Non-coding RNA from Crucibulum laeve, 92 nucleotides. Lineage: Eukaryota; Fungi; Basidiomycota; Agaricomycetes; Agaricales; Nidulariaceae. The record is from the annotation of a GenBank genome assembly.
GGUUCAGUGGUCUAGUGGUUAUGAUUUCUGUCUUACAGUCUUUGAACUUCUGUGUGCACAGACGGUCCCCGGUUCGACCCCGGGCUGAACCA